AGAAUUGUGUCGGAAAGAGUCGGGGGGGGGCAAAAAUAAAAAAAUAGCGUAGGGUGCCAUCAACCGGGCAACUUCCCCCCCCCCCGUAACAUAGUUUUAUUACCUGUUGAUCCAUCAUUGUUCCACUUCCUGUAGCAGGGUGACUACGCUGUUUGUCCAUAGCGAAAUCACACAGCGGCGCUCUUAGGUACAUCAUAUACAUUGCAAUCUGACCCCGCAACCUUUAUACAGCCAACCAAAGAUUUACCAAAACUAUGAGGACCUUCCUAGACCAUUCAAUCAGCCAGGUCCCUGAUGAUAACCCGAAAUCUCCUUUUUUGGACCAAGCACUAUACAACCUCUUCUAGGGUUAUCAUCAGGGGUCUGGCUGAUUGGAAAGUCUAGGUAGGUCCUGGCUGAUUGGAAAGUCUAGGUAGGUCCUGGAUGAUUGGAAAGUCUAGGUAGGUCCUGGCAUGAUUGGAAAGUCUAGGUAGGUCCUGGCUGAUUGAAUAGUCUAGGUAGGUCCUGGCUGAUUGGAAAGUCUAGGUAGGUCCUGGCUGAUUGGAAAGUCUAGGUAGGUCCUGGCUGAUUGGAAAGUCUAGGUAGGUCCUGGCUAAUUUGAAAGUCUAGGUAGGUCCUGGCUGAUUGAAUAGUCUAGGUAGGUCCUGGCUGAUUGAAUAGUUUAGGUAGGCCCUGGCUGAUUAGAAAGUCUAGGUAGGUCCUGGCUGAUUGGAAAGUCUAGGUAGGUCCUGGCUAAUUGGAAAGUCUAGGUAGGUCCUGGCUGAUUGAAUAGUCUAGGUAGGUCCUGGCUGAUUGAAUAGUUUAGGUAGGCCCUGGCUGAUUAGAAAGUCUAGGUAGGUCCUGGCUGAUUGGAAAGUCUAGGUAGGUCCUGGCUAAUUGGAAAGUCUAGGAAGGUCCUGGCUGAUUGAAUAGUCUAGGUAGGUCCUGGCUGAUUGAAUAGUUUAGGUAGGCCCUGGCUGAUUAGAAAGUCUAGGUAGGUCCUGGCUGAUUGGAAAGUCUAGGUAGGUCCUGGCUGAUUGAAUAGUUUAGGUAGGCCCUGGCUGAUUAGAAAGUCUAGGUAGGUCCUGGCUGAUUGGAAAGUCUAGGUAGGUCCUGGCUGAUUGGAAAGUCUAGGUAGGUCCUGGCUGAUUGGAAAGUCUAGGUAGGUCCUGGCUAAUUGGAAAGUCUAGGUAGGUCCUGGCUGAUUGAAUAGUCUAGGUAGGUCCUGGCUGAUUGAAUAGUUUAGGUAGGCCCUGGCUGAUUAGAAAGUCUAGGUAGGUCCUGGCUGAUUGGAAAGUCUAGGUAGGUCCUGGCUGAUUGGAAAGUCUAGGUAGGUCCUGGCUGAUUGGAAAGCUAAGAUUUACCACAAGCUUGGAGGACCUUCCUAGACCAAUCAAUCAGCCAGGUCCCUGAUGAUAACCCUAAAUCUCCUUCUUUGGACCAAGCACUAUAAAAUCUCUUCUAGGUUUAUCAUCAGGAGUCUGGCUGAUUGGAAAGUCUAGGUAGGUCCUGGCUGAUUGGAUAGUCUAGGUAGGUCCUGGCUGAUUGGAUAGUCUAGGUAGGUCCUGGCUGAUUGGAAAGUCUAGGUAGGUCCUGGCUGAUUGGAUAGUCUAGGUAGGUCCUGGCUGAUUGGAAAGUCUAGAUAGGUCCUGGUGAUUGGAAAGUCUAGGUAGGUCCUGGCUGAUUGUAAAGUCUAGGUAGGUCCUGGCUGAUUGGAAAGUCUAGGUAGGUCCUGGCUGAUUGGAAAGCUAAUGUAGGUCCUGGCUGAUUGGAAAGUCUAGGUAGGUCCUGGCUGAUUGGAUAGUCUAGGUAGGUCCUGGCUGAUUAGAAAGUCUAGGUAGGUCCUGGUGAUUGGAAAGUCUAGGUAGGUCCUGGCUGAUUGGAAAGUCUAGGUAGGUCCUGGCUGAUUGGAAAGUCUAGGUAGGUCCUGGCUGAUUGGAAAGCUAAGGUAGGUCCUGGCUGAUUGGAUAGUCUAGGUAGGUCCUGGCUGAUUGGAAAGUCUAGGUAGGUCCUGGCUGAUUGGAUAGUCUAGGUAGGUCCUGGCUGAUUGGAAAGUCUAGGUAGGUCCUGGCUGAUUGGAUAGUCUAGGUAGGUCCUGGCUGAUUGGAAAGUUUAGGUAGGUCCUGGCUGAUUGGAAAGCUAAGGUAGGUCCUGGCUGAUUGGAUAGUCUAGGUAGGUCCUCACUGAUUGGAAAGUCUAGGUAGGUCCUGGUGAUUGGAAAGUCUAGGUAGUCAUCGUUUUGGUAAAUAUAUGGUUGGCUUUAUAUAUAUUGUACGGUCAGAUGAUAAUGCAUAUGGUGACCCUUAAGGUUUGACCUCAUAUUAUAUAGUUUUGGUAAAUCUCAAGACAAAAACCUGCAGAAAAUCUAAUAGUGUGUAUGAGGGCCAACAAAAACCCAAUUUAAGUCCUGGGACGGAGGCGCCGGACUGACAACUGGAGAGCCGUGACUUAUCCACAUCCGUUCCUGGAUGAUUCCGUAAUUAAUUCCUAAAAUAACUCUGACUCCUCGUCAACAUCGUAUACCCAGAAUUUAUGGAGAGGACCGUGAACACAGUGUGCUUAUAGCGUUAUAUGUAAUAUAUUUAAAAUGUAUCAUCCCAACAACAACAAAAAUGUAUUAAAAUUGUAUAUAAUAACUAAUGUUAUUACAGAGAUUAAUCAAAUAUUCAUUAUAAUAAAUAAAAAGAAAAAAUACUUA
Long non-coding RNA from Rana temporaria (common frog), 2677 nucleotides. RefSeq lists it as uncharacterized. The transcript has 2 exons. NCBI's taxonomy places the organism in Eukaryota, Metazoa, Chordata, Amphibia, Anura, Ranidae. The record is from RefSeq and is a predicted model, not a curated record.